GGGGGUACUGGUACAGAGUCAAUGUGGAGGCUAUAUACAGGGGGUACUGGUACAGAGUCAGCGUGGAGGCUAUAUACAGGGGGUACUGGUACAGAGUCAAUGUGGAGGCUAUAUACAGGAGGUACUGGUACAGAGUCAGCGUGGAGGCUAUAUACAGGGGUACCGGUACAGAGUCAAUGUGGAGGCUAUAUACAGGGGGUACUGGUACAGAGUCAGCGUGGAAGCUAUAUACAGGGGGUACCGGUACAGAGUCAAUGUGGAGGCUAUAUACAGGGGGUACUGGUACAGAGUCAAUGUGGAGGCUAUAUACAGGAGGUACUGGUACAGAG
This is a long non-coding RNA of Oncorhynchus tshawytscha (Chinook salmon), 329 nucleotides long. Lineage: Eukaryota; Metazoa; Chordata; Actinopteri; Salmoniformes; Salmonidae. The record is from Ensembl.